Molecule: non-coding RNA, 26 nt
Filed under: Rattus norvegicus (Norway rat)
Lineage: Eukaryota; Metazoa; Chordata; Mammalia; Rodentia; Muridae
Source: RNAcentral
UGCCUUUCUGAGAGUUUUGUGUAUCU